This 433-nucleotide ribosomal RNA is filed under the name uncultured bacterium. Its description in RNAcentral is "partial 16S ribosomal RNA". It matches the Rfam family "Bacterial small subunit ribosomal RNA", at positions 29 to 507 of the family's 1533-position model. The record is from RNAcentral.
AACGAACGCUGGCGGCAUGCCUAACACAUGCAAGUCGAACGAGACCUUCGGGUCUAGUGGCGCACGGGUGCGUAACGCGUGGGAACCUGCCCUUAGGUUCGGAAUAACUCCCCGAAAGGGGUGCUAAUACCGGAUAAUGUCUUCGGACCAAAGAUUUAUCGCCUUUGGAUGGGCCCGCGUUGGAUUAGCUAGUUGGUAGGGUAAAAGCCUACCAAGGCGACGAUCCAUAGCUGGUCUGAGAGGAUGAUCAGCCACACUGGGACUGAGACACGGCCCAGACUGCUACGGGAGGAAGCAGUGGGGAAUAGUGGACAAUGGGCGAAAGCCUGAUCAAGCAAUGCCGCGUGAGUGAUGAAGGCCUUAGGGUUGUAAAGCUCUUUUAAACGGGAUGAUAAUGACAGUACCGGGAGAAUAAGCUCCGGCUAACUCCGUG